This 79-nucleotide transfer RNA is filed under the name Alphaproteobacteria bacterium. RNAcentral's name for it is "tRNA-Asp". It matches the Rfam family "tRNA". From Rfam's summary of the family: Transfer RNA (tRNA) molecules are approximately 80 nucleotides in length. Their secondary structure includes four short double-helical elements and three loops (D, anti-codon, and T loops). RNAcentral also lists the same sequence under 1 other name. The record is from RNAcentral. Lineage: Bacteria; Pseudomonadati; Pseudomonadota; Alphaproteobacteria.
GGGGAUGUAGCUCAGUUUUGGUUAGAGUGUCGGCCUGUCACGCCGAAGGUCGCGGGUUCAAGUCCCGUCAUUCCCGCCA